RNAcentral lists this unclassified non-coding RNA (794 nucleotides) under Hevea brasiliensis (rubber tree). The record is from RNAcentral. Lineage: Eukaryota; Viridiplantae; Streptophyta; Magnoliopsida; Malpighiales; Euphorbiaceae.
AGAGGAAGCUGCCUCCAGGUGAUUUUCAUAAGUGGGUUUUGCGUAGUUUCCAAGCUAUGUUAGCCAUUUCUUGAAUUACUUGUCCUUUAUAUCACUCUGUUAAUAUAUACUGCUUGUCUUGUUCCUGAUGAAAUUGAAUAUAUUCAAAACUGAUAUUUUCAUUUAUUCAGGAGUUAAAAAGUAUUAUCAAUACCCUCCUAAAAGAAAGGCAUUAUUAAUGCCCUUUUAAGCCAUGAAAAAUAAAAGGAUGCGAGCAUCUGUAUGAUUUAUACUUCUGAUAAGAAAGAAAAAGUCUUGUCCCCCAAAUUCUUUGAUUCUUAUGUGCAAUGUUAUAUUAACAUGCAUCAGUUAUGCAUUUUGUGCUUAUGCUCUAUGUGAAUGUGAGUGUAUAAGGAUGUACGCAAGUAUGUGUAUAAAGAUCCUUGAGAUACGGCCAAUGCUUCAAUUAGUUGUCUUAUAUUUCAACCGUAUUUUAACUGUUCAUUGAUGAUUUCACAUAAAUUCUUGUAGUCAUCUCAUGGUUCUUGUUGAAGAACAUAGCUGUAUAUGUAGACUAGUUCUAGCUUCUUGAUGAUUUUCUUGAUUAUUUAUUUCUGCCUACCUAAAGUGUAGCUGCAGGCUCCUGUUCAAUUUUGUGUAAUCAUUUCCCUCAUUUAUCCUUCACUUGUUUUCCAUUUUUAUAAUGUCAAGUUCUAAUCAUGAAGACUUUUUCAUUGCUAUUAUUUUGGCUAAUUUGUGAGCUAAAACGUGCUAUGAUUAUUGGAAUCCUAAUGCUUUUGUAAAUGCAGGUGAUU